CCUACGGGUGGCAGCAGUGGGGAAUAUUGCGCAAUGGGCGAAAGCCUGACGCAGCGACGCCGCGUGAGGGAUGAAGGUCUUCGGAUCGUAAACCUCUGUCAGCAGGGAAGAACGGUCACGGUGCUAAUCAGCAGUGAAUGGACGGUACCGGCAAAGGAAGAACCGGCUAACUCCGUGCCAGCAGCCGCGGUAAUACGGCGGGUGCGAGCGUUAAUCGGAAUUACUGGGCGUAAAGCGCUCGUAGGCGGUAUGUCAAGUCAAGGGUGAAAUCCCCGCGCUCAACGUGGGAACUGCCUUUGAAACUGGCAAACUGGAGUGUGUGAGACGCUAGUGGAAUUCCAGGUGUAGGCGU
RNAcentral lists this ribosomal RNA (352 nucleotides) under uncultured bacterium. Its description in RNAcentral is "partial 16S ribosomal RNA". It matches the Rfam family "Bacterial small subunit ribosomal RNA", at positions 338 to 682 of the family's 1533-position model. The record is from RNAcentral.